GAUGAAGAACGCAGCGAAAUGCGAUAAGUAAUGUGAAUUGCAGAAUUCAGUGAAUCAUCGAAUCUUUGAACGCACAUUGCGCCCCUUGGUAUUCCGAGGGGCAUGCCUGUUCGAGCGUCAUUAUAACCCCUCAAGCUCCGCUUGGUGUUGGGGCCUGCUGCACUGGCAGCCCUUAAAAUCAGUGGCGGCGCCAUCUGGCUCUAAGCGUAGUAAUUCUUCUCGCUAUGGAGUCCUGGUGGAUGCUUGCCAUCAACCCCCAAUUUUUCUAUGGUUGACCUCGGAUCAGGUAGGGAUACCCGCUGAACUUAAGCAUAUCAAUAAGCGGAGGA
RNAcentral lists this unclassified non-coding RNA (329 nucleotides) under soil metagenome. Its description in RNAcentral is "partial contains 5.8S ribosomal RNA, internal transcribed spacer 2, and large subunit ribosomal RNA". The stretch from base 1 to 120 matches the Rfam family "5.8S ribosomal RNA", at positions 35 to 154 of the family's 154-position model. The record is from RNAcentral.